UAUAAGUCCCAGCAUGCCCAUAAGGGAAUGCUGGGAGUUGCGGUGGUCUGCCUCCUGCUGUUGCAUAACUACAGCUCCCAGCAUGCCCUUUUUGCAUGCUGGGAGCUGUUGCUAAGCAACAGCAGGAGGCUGUCACUCACCACCAACUGCUGCUCCACGCCGCCGCACACAGGUGUAAAGCAUGAAAGGGCAGUAAAUGAGCCUAGAUUCUUCUAAUUCCAGUCAUUACAACAGAAGUGGGUCCUCCACAGUAAUGUACUGCACACAGCAGUCCGAGCUGCACUAAAGAAAAGAGAAGCAAGGAGAGACCUUUGGACUGGAAAGAAAAAUUUACAUUCUGGACCUUGCAAUGUAAACAGUCAUCCAUCACCAUUACACUACCAGCACUGCCUGUAAUUUAAGAGCCGCAUUCUACAGCAAUUCCUUUGGAGCAAGCUCUCUAGGCCCCAGGCGAUAGAAGGCCAGGAUACAGAACCCAACCCCAUUGGAAAAGAAGAAAAAGAUUAGUGGAGGCUAAAAUAAGCAGAUGCUGCAUGGUCAAGACCCUGGAGUUGGCCACAAAUACUAGCACUAAUAAAAACAUGUCUGCCAGGGACACUGUUUAUCCUGAUAAAUUAUUCUUCUAACACAUCCUCUUAUUUAGGUGCCAUGUUCUAUCUUUUUUGAGAAGGCAAAUCUAUCAUGCUGCCAUGAAUAACCAUCACCAAUCAACUUAACCCAUGAAGGAUAGUGGCUUAUCAAUCACCCCGCUCCUGAGAGGCACUGGGAACA
Hyla sarda is the source of this 771-nucleotide long non-coding RNA. RefSeq lists it as uncharacterized. Lineage: Eukaryota; Metazoa; Chordata; Amphibia; Anura; Hylidae. The record is from RefSeq and is a predicted model, not a curated record. The transcript has 3 exons.